Bombus impatiens (common eastern bumble bee) is the source of this 1435-nucleotide long non-coding RNA. RefSeq lists it as uncharacterized. The record is from RefSeq and is a predicted model, not a curated record. NCBI's taxonomy places the organism in Eukaryota, Metazoa, Arthropoda, Insecta, Hymenoptera, Apidae. The transcript is spliced from 2 exons.
UAUUAUAAUAAACGUCGAUAUCAUUUCUACAUAUAUCACGAUGUAUCAUGAUACUGGAUGCACUAUAAAUUGUGUAUUACCUUCGUAUCUCGUGUAUAUCAGCAAAUAUAAUCGUGGCAUUCCCUCAUAACCCGCAAUACUAGAUAAUAUGUACUAUACAAACACAGUUCUCCAUAUAUCAUUCCGGAGAUAUCUCCAUAUGUUACAAUGCUACAUGUUAUAAUGCAUAAAACAUACUGAACAUCUCAAUCGACCCAAUCACAAUCAUACGCACGUCUAUUUCCAUACUGCAUCAAUAAAUAUACUAAUCACAAAAAUACUAGUGGAAUAAAUAUCCCACAAUGUACAAUGACAAUUUUCCAUAAUAGAUCUCCAUCGAUUAUCGCAUUAGAAUACUGAACAACUAAAUUUCUUAUGGACCAUGCUAAUAUUGUUGCGUUUUAUAUAAUAUAGAAAUAAUUUAUAGAUAUAUUAUAAUAUAGAAAUUUAUUGCAGAACACCACCUCGUUCCAAUCAUAUUUCACUACUCGUAAACAUCUAAUUUACAAAUAUUUAUAAAUGUGCCUAUAUAUAAAAAGAAAAAAGAAAAUUUCAGGAUUAAAGCAUAUAAUGUAUAAAAUGCAUAUCCGUCACUCUAAUUGCAUCUACGCUAAGGAAAAGAAAGAUAAAACUCGAGUGUGAAUACACAUAACGCGUAGAGUACGUAUUCGCCACCCUAACUGCAGCCACACUAAGCAAAAAAAAAAAAAAAAAAAACGAGAAUUCCUGCAUUACCAGGGAGUGAUUCGAUCAAUCGAAAGUGCAGGCGAGAAAAACAGCUGGUCCCAGGGUCACUGGGUUCGUCCGUUGUGAAUGGACCCGUACUCGACGCAAAGAACUGGUGGUGGGGGUUCAAUCAUCGCAAUGAAUUACAACGAGCCAGUCACCGAGAGUGACUCACUACGCUGCUCUAGCCGCUGCAGCUCGAUAAAAGUCUUUUUCUUUGCCCUCCUCGUGCCGGAGGAAUUCGAGAGAGCCCCGGGGAGCAGAAAGAGAGGCGCUCAAGGAACGCUAACAGAAGCGGCCGCUUAUGAAUCAUCUGUGUACGCGGGCAAAAUGCUUCGGCGAGGGGACACACAGUACAGUCGGAGAACAAGAGGACUUUCGUUCGUCGCGACUGCCAACCUAACGGGAUUUCUAGUGCUCUUAAUGGCUCCCUGCUAACUCUUUGUUCCUGGGGUUGUAUAACUGAAUUUCGAGAUGGAAAUGGGAAAUUAGUACUAAUUGAGGAUUUUCGCUUUCGGUAGAAGGCUAUCGGCAGAGUCGAAACAUUGGUUAUUGGUUAUGCAACAAUGAUUCCCCCACCAGGAAUGUUACCAGUAAUGCCCACUCUUGGCAAUUUACUACACGUGUCUUUCCAAACCCAAUCACGAAUUAAAAUUCUAUCUUAUUAAAU